GUGGGGAAUCUUGCGCAAUGGGCGAAAGCCUGACGCAGCCAUGCCGCGUGAAUGAUGAAGGUCUUAGGAUUGUAAAAUUCUUUCACCGGGGACGAUAAUGACGGUACCCGGAGAAGAAGCUCCGGCUAACUUCGUGCCAGCAGCCGCGGUAAUACGAAGGGGGCUAGCGUUGCUCGGAAUUACUGGGCGUAAAGGGCGCGUAGGCGGACAGCUUAGUCAGAGGUGAAAGCCCAGGGCUCAACCUUGGGAUUGCCUUUGAUACUGGCUGUCUUGAGUUUGGGAGAGGUGAGUGGAACUCCGAGUGUAGAGGUGAAAUUCGUAGAUAUUCGGAAGAACACCAGUGGCGAAGGCGACUCACUGGCCCAAUACUGACGCUGAGGCGCGAAAGCGUGGGGAGCAAACAGGAUUAGAUACCCCGGUAGUCC
This 425-nucleotide ribosomal RNA is filed under the name uncultured bacterium. Its description in RNAcentral is "partial 16S ribosomal RNA". It matches the Rfam family "Bacterial small subunit ribosomal RNA", at positions 354 to 796 of the family's 1533-position model. The record is from RNAcentral.